Molecule: ribosomal RNA, 537 nt
Filed under: Triticum aestivum (bread wheat)
Lineage: Eukaryota; Viridiplantae; Streptophyta; Magnoliopsida; Poales; Poaceae
Description: partial small subunit ribosomal RNA
Source: RNAcentral
AUGCGUCUCUUCAGUGAAGUAUUGAUCUCGUCCAUGGCGAGAAGCGCUCCAUGGCCGGUGACUGGUGCAGCAACCCAUGGCUGGUCCGUAGAUGCUGGAAGCCGGCCACCAUGGUGCUGCCUGCCGGCUACGCCUGCGCUAGAAGCCGCCGGACCAGACCGCCCGCCUCUGGAGCUACAUCUGCCGUCGCUCGCCGUUCGAUGUCGCCGCCGUCCUGGAGGAGUGCCAGCGUCCAUGGCUCUCGCCUCCUCGAGCUCAUAUGCAACAACAAAUUUGUUGCAAUUUUUGCAACAAAGGUCUUAUUGUAGAAAAUUAGACGUGGAGGAGGUCUUGUUGCAAUUUCCGCAACAAGGGUCUUGUUGCAGAAAAUUAGACGCGACAGAAGUUGUUGUUGCAAAUUUUACAACAAGAUCUUGUUGCAGAAAAUUAGACGCGGCGAAAGACGUUAUUGCAUUUUUUGCAAAGACCUUGUUGCAGAAAAUUAGAGAAGAAGAGGUUUUGCAAUAUGGGCUUGUUGCAGGAAAUUAUAGAAGAUGA